AUGGGCUGUAGGACAGGAGAGUAACAGUUUAUUUAUUUUUUGUCACGUAUCCACCGAGUUCCUCCUGGGAGAUCACAUGACUUCCGAACUUCCCGCAAGCUCAGACACUCACACAGACUCAAUCUCUCAGAAUCCUCUGGGAGAUCACCUAACGGGUUUCGGGCAGCAGAAGGUGGGCAUUACUGCUAGAGCGUGAUGAUUGGCGAGCAGAGCAGCUGAUUGGCUGGACAUACAUAAGCUCUGCCUUUUUGCUGUGCCCUCUGGAUUGUUUGCUGUUUCUUCUGACUCCUGUUUUUUGACCUUUUUGCCUGCAUCCUCGACUACGCCUUUGCCUCUCCCUUUUUGGGCUUAUGCACUGUGUUAGGUAUAUCUGUAUUUUCUAUGCCUUUCGGAUUUGACCCCCGCCUGUUUUGUGACAACAAUUCUGGACUGUGAAUCUUUCAGUAAAGCCUCUUUUGUGUUUUACAUCUA
Pygocentrus nattereri (red-bellied piranha) is the source of this 471-nucleotide long non-coding RNA. RefSeq lists it as uncharacterized. NCBI's taxonomy places the organism in Eukaryota, Metazoa, Chordata, Actinopteri, Characiformes, Serrasalmidae. The record is from RefSeq and is a predicted model, not a curated record. The transcript has 2 exons.